CUGAGUACGGCGGAACACGUGAAAUUCCGUCGGAAUCCGGGAGGACCAUCUCCCAAGGCUAAAUACUCCCUAGUGACCGAUAGUGAACCAGUACCGUGAGGGAAAGGUGAAAAGCACCCCGGAAGGGGAGUGAAACAGUUCCUGAAACCGUGUGCCUACAAGUAGUUAGAGCCCGUUAAUGGGUGAUAGCGUGCCUUUUGUAGAAUGAACCGGCGAGUUACGAUUUGUUGCAAGGUUAAGCGGAAAAAGCGGAGCCGUAGCGAAAGCGAGUCUGAAUAGGGCGCAUAAGUAACAGGUCGUAGACCCGAAACCAGGUGAUCUACCCAUGUCCAGGAUGAAGGUAAGGUAAUACUUACUGGAGGUCCGAACCCACGCACGUUGAAAAGUGCGGGGAUGAGGUGUGGGUAGCGGAGAAAUUCCAAUCGAACUUGGAGAUAGCUGGUUCUCUCCGAAAUAGCUUUAGGGCUAGCCUCGAGGUAAAGAGUCAUGGAGGUAGAGCACUGUUUGGACUAGGGGCCCUUCUCGGGUUACCGAAUUCAGAUAAACUCCGAAUGCCAUGUACUUAUACUCGGGAGUCAGACUGCGAGUGAUAAGAUCCGUAGUCGAAAGGGAAACAGCCCAGACCACCAGUUAAGGUCCCCAAAUAUAUGUUAAG
Molecule: ribosomal RNA, 655 nt
Filed under: Listeria monocytogenes
Lineage: Bacteria; Bacillati; Bacillota; Bacilli; Caryophanales; Listeriaceae
Description: bacterial LSU rRNA
Rfam family: Bacterial large subunit ribosomal RNA
Source: RNAcentral